Molecule: non-coding RNA, 231 nt
Organism: Paramuricea clavata
Lineage: Eukaryota; Metazoa; Cnidaria; Anthozoa; Malacalcyonacea; Plexauridae
Source: the annotation of a GenBank genome assembly
GCCUGUCAUUACAUUCGCCCAGAAUCUGUUGAUGGUGACCCUUUUUCGAUGGUGAUCCUUUUUUGAUGAAUUUAUUUAUACAGCAUGACAUAGUUGACACUUAUCGACAUCAAACCAACUCAAGAUCUUGAUAUAAGACAAUCGGUUUCAAAUGGCCAGUUAUAGGCAUCAUCAUGACCAUAUAAUCCAUAUCCAGGCUAUGAUUCUUUUCCUAGUGUCUUGGCAUGCUAG